RNAcentral lists this long non-coding RNA (321 nucleotides) under Monodelphis domestica (gray short-tailed opossum). RNAcentral describes it as "lncRNA (ENSMODG00000039127.1)". Lineage: Eukaryota; Metazoa; Chordata; Mammalia; Didelphimorphia; Didelphidae. The record is from RNAcentral.
UGUGAGAUCUUCGCCUUGGAACUUGACUUUGGAGGAGCUGGGUCUUGAAAUCUCAGACUGCUUCUCCAUGGACUGCCAUGUGGUAGAUUUGUGAGAAGGCCAGAGAGCUGGUCAAUGAUCAUCAAGGAAUGAAUGGAACAAACAAAGCUGGAUUAAUAGUUCCCUGUAUAGGUGGUGUCUGAGAGAGGACAAAAGAAGAGAGAAACUCAGGAUUUGGUGCCUUUUGCCCCCAAGAGCUUUGGUACCUUCUUAGCUGAGGGAUCUCCAAUUUUCUCUAGCUUUCCCAAACCUUUCUCUUCCUAGUCCAAAUAAACUCAUCUA